GAUGAACGCUGACAGAAUGCUUAACACAUGCAAGUCAACUUGAACUUCGGUUUGGGUGGCGGACGGGUGAGUAACGCGUAAAGAACUUGCCUCACAGAUAGGGACAACAUUUGGAAACGAAUGCUAAUACCUGAUAUUAUGAUUUUAGGGCAUCCUAGAAUUAUGAAAGCUAUAUGCGCUGUGAGAGAGCUUUGCGUCCCAUUAGCUAGUUGGAGAGGUAACGGCUCGCCAAGGCGAUGACGGGUAGCCGGCCUGAGAGGGUGAUCGGCCACAAGGGGACUGAGACACGGCCCUUACUCCUACGGGAGGCAGCAGUGGGGAAUAUUGGACAAUGGACCAAGAGUCUGAUCCAGCAAUUCUGUGUGCACGAUGAAGUUUUUCGGAAUGUAAAGUGCUUUCAGUUGGGAAGAAAAAAAUGACGGUACCAACAGAAGAAGUGACGGCUAAAUACGUGCCAGCAGCCGCGGUAAUACGUAUGUCACAAGCGUUAUCCGGAUUUAUUGGGCGUAAAGCGCGUCUAGGUGGUUAUAUAAGUCUGAUGUGAAAAUGCAGGGCUCAACUCUGUAUUGCGUUGGAAACUGUGUAACUAGAGUACUGGAGAGGUAAGCGGAACUACAAGUGUAGAGGUGAAAUUCGUAGAUAUUUGUAGGAAUGCCGAUGGGGAAGCCAGCUUACUGGACAGAUACUGACGCUGAAGCGCGAAAGCGUGGGGUAGCAACAGG
RNAcentral lists this ribosomal RNA (722 nucleotides) under uncultured Fusobacterium sp. RNAcentral describes it as "bacterial SSU rRNA". It matches the Rfam family "Bacterial small subunit ribosomal RNA", at positions 28 to 776 of the family's 1533-position model. Lineage: Bacteria; Fusobacteriati; Fusobacteriota; Fusobacteriia; Fusobacteriales; Fusobacteriaceae. The record is from RNAcentral.